This 439-nucleotide ribosomal RNA is filed under the name Bemisia tabaci. RNAcentral describes it as "partial 16S ribosomal RNA". Lineage: Eukaryota; Metazoa; Arthropoda; Insecta; Hemiptera; Aleyrodidae. The record is from RNAcentral.
AAUAAAUUCUGCUCAAUGAUAAACUUAAAUAGCUGCAGUAAAUUAACUGUACUAAGGUAGCAUAAUAAAUUGCUUUAUAAUUGAAAGCUUGAAUGAAGGAAACAAUGAAAAACAAACUUUUUAAUCUAAAAAAGUAAAAAUUAGUAUUUAAGUGAAAAAUCUUAAAUUAAAUCAAAAGACAAGAAGACCCUUUAGAACUUUACAAGCCUCACCAUCUUAACUGGAUUGUCUUGUUAAAUUGGGGAGAUUUUUAAAUAAAUAAAUCUUUAAAUAUAAUAAGAUGAUAUACUUCAAAUUAAAUUAUCCACGUAUGAACUAAAACAAGUUACCUAAGGGAUAACAGCGCAAAAUUUUUGAGAAGAUCUUAUUCACAAAAUACAUUGCGACCUCGAUGUUGGAUUAAGAAUAACUUAUAGAGAAAAAUUUAUAAGAAUUGGUC